UCGAGAUAAAAACAUGACAAGUUGUUGCUGGCCUCCUUGGCAAUUCGUGCACGCUUGUUAUUUCUCAUUUACACAUCCUUUGUGCACCUUCUGUAGAUUUGGUUUAGGACUGCUUAGCAAGGAUUGUCAUCUAAUCUUUGCAGGCUUUCCUUAUUAUUUCAGAUCUAUGUUUUCAUAUACUCCAGUGUAAUUGAAGGUGAAUUGAAUGGCACAUCUGUGUCUUUAAUAACACAUAUA
This 237-nucleotide unclassified non-coding RNA is filed under the name uncultured Agaricales. Its description in RNAcentral is "sequence contains ITS1". Lineage: Eukaryota; Fungi; Basidiomycota; Agaricomycetes; Agaricales. The record is from RNAcentral.